This 448-nucleotide ribosomal RNA is filed under the name uncultured bacterium. RNAcentral's name for it is "bacterial SSU rRNA". It matches the Rfam family "Bacterial small subunit ribosomal RNA", at positions 28 to 492 of the family's 1533-position model. The record is from RNAcentral.
GACGAACGCUGGCGGCGUGCUUAACACAUGCAAGUCGAACGGAAAGGCCCCUUCGGGGGUGCUCGAGUGGCGAACGGGUGAGUAACACGUGGGUGAUCUGCCCUGCACUUUGGGAUAAGCCUGGGAAACUGGGUCUAAUACCGGAUAGGACCGCUCCAUGCAUGUGGGGUGGUGGAAAGCUUUUGCGGUGUGGGAUGGGCCCGCGGCCUAUCAGCUUGUUGGUGGGGUGAUGGCCUACCAAGGCGACGACGGGUAGCCGGCCUGAGAGGGUGUCCGGCCACACUGGGACUGAGAUACGGCCCAGACUCCUACGGGAGGCAGCAGUGGGGAAUAUUGCACAAUGGGCGCAAGCCUGAUGCAGCGACGCCGCGUGGGGGAUGACGGCCUUCGGGUUGUAAACCUUUUCAGCCAUGACGAAGCGCAAGUGACGGUAGUGGCAGAAGAAGCA